UAGCCUUGACAUAUAAUGGGAUUCGACAGAGAUGUUGAAGUGCCUUCGGGAGCCAUAAUACAGGUGCUGCACGGCUGUCGUCAGCUCGUGUCGUGAGAUGUUGGGUUAAGUCCCGCAACGAGCGCAACCCUCGUCACUAGUUACUAACGGUUCGGCCGAGGACUCUAGUGAGACUGCCUUCGUAAGGAGGAGGAAGGUGAGGACGACGUCAAGUCAUCAUGGCCCUUACGGCUAGGGCAACACACGUGCUACAAUGGUUAGGACAAUGAGAAGCAAUAUCGCGAGGUGGAGCAAAUCUAUAAACCUAAUCUCAGUUCGGAUUGUAGUCUGCAACUCGACUACAUGAAGCUGGAAUCACUAGUAAUCGUAGAUCAGCUAUGCUACGGUGAAUACGUUCCCGGGUCU
RNAcentral lists this ribosomal RNA (405 nucleotides) under uncultured bacterium. RNAcentral's name for it is "bacterial SSU rRNA". It matches the Rfam family "Bacterial small subunit ribosomal RNA", at positions 976 to 1381 of the family's 1533-position model. The record is from RNAcentral.